Hippocampus zosterae (dwarf seahorse) is the source of this 1267-nucleotide long non-coding RNA. RefSeq lists it as uncharacterized. The transcript has 2 exons. The record is from RefSeq and is a predicted model, not a curated record. Lineage: Eukaryota; Metazoa; Chordata; Actinopteri; Syngnathiformes; Syngnathidae.
ACUUUGAAGCAGACCGACAUGGAGAAGGAGCGGCACAUUUUAGUUCACAAAGUAGCAUCAGACGCAAUUUGCAUAUACAGUGUGUGCCUUGAGAUCAUAUUGAACCACAGUUUUGUCUUUAUGCUAAAACAUCACGGUAAACACUAACAGAGAGCGAGUGUCCUGGUGUUCUAACCCUUUCAGGAACGGACAUUUGAACACAACGGGUUAUGUAACGCAUCAAAAACUCGUGAUACUUGUAGGCAUAAAUUCUUUAUCCUCCUCGAAGAAAGGCGACUAUUACAGCAGUUUACUGAGGAGCCGAGACGGUCUCCAUCCACAGUAUAUCCAUAGGUUUGUAUUAUACUGGGGUGGCUCGGUAGUCCAGUGGUUAGCACGUCGGCUUCACAGUGCAGAGGUACCGGGUUCGAUUACAGCUCCGGCCUCCCUGUGUGGAGUUUGCAUGUUCUCCCCGGGCCUGCGUGGGUUUUCUCCGGGUGCUCCGGUUUCCUCCCACAUUCCAAAAACAUGCGUGGCAGGCUGAUUGGACGCUCUAAAUUGUCCCUAGGUGUGAAUGUGAGCGUGGAUGGUUGUUCGUCUCUGUGUGCCCUGUGAUUGGCUGGCAACCGAUUCAGGGUGUCCCCCGCCUACUGCCCAAAGACAGCUGGGAUAGGCUCCGGCACCCCCCGCGACCCUAGUGAGGAUUAAGCGGUUCAGAAAAUGGAUGGAUGGAUCUUUCUUUUCUGUUCAUCCGCGGUCGUGUCCAUUUUAAGGGAGAGCCCCAGGGCCAAAGAAGUGAUGAAACUGUUUGGACGGUCUAAUUCCACAAGUGGCGAAGCAAGCCGUGGUGUGGUUGCAGAUGCGUGACCACACUUCUGUGUUUUGAUUACGUGGGACAACGAGAUUUUCCUUCACGCGUUGACUGCGCCGAUUCAUCACCUUCAAUGCCACCAAUCCGCAGAGACUUGGAAAGGUUCGAGUCCAAGGCACUAAAACAGGAGGUGCUUUAUUUUUAGACUCCAUAUGGUGGAAAAAUCUUCGCAGGAAUCAGGCAAUGUGAACUCAAGCCCUCAUUUGGAUCAAGGAAAUAGACACGGGGUGGAGGGUGGGGGUGGGGGGGGAAUGUGGCUGUUCAACUGCAGGGGGAAGUUGUUCCAUGUUUUUCCACUCGUGUGUUAUUGCCUCUACAAGAGAGACUUUGCAAUUACUUGCAACAUAUGUGUAGAUGUCAGAAAACAGCUGCGCUGUCUGUAAAUAUGACAACUAUUAAAAAAAAAAGUAUUGAAAA